Molecule: unclassified non-coding RNA, 275 nt
Filed under: Knufia tsunedae
Lineage: Eukaryota; Fungi; Ascomycota; Eurotiomycetes; Chaetothyriales; Trichomeriaceae
Description: partial internal transcribed spacer region
Rfam family: Eukaryotic small subunit ribosomal RNA (bases 1-46)
Source: RNAcentral
AAGUCGUAACAAGGUUUCCGUAGGUGAACCUGCGGAAGGAUCAUUACCGAGUUAGGGUUUCGUCCGACGAGCCCGACCUCCCAACCCUUUGUCUACUAUACCUUGUCGUUGCUUCGGCGGACCGGUCGCGACCAACUAGUCGUGGCCGCCGGGGCCCGUCCCUGGAAAGCGUCCGCCGACGGCCCAACCACAAACUCUUGUACCAAACCAUGUCGUCUGAAUUUACUUGAUUAAAAUCAAAAACAAAACUUUCAACAACGGAUCUCUUGGUUCUG